ACGUGAGAGCAGUCAUGGCUUGAUCACUAAGCUCCAUGUUUCUUCCACCUAACCGGUCAACCAUAUCAGGUAUUGAUUCAUAGCCCCUAAAAUCUUGCUCUUUCGGAUCCUCAAGCUUCAUUCUCAUCUUCUCAGCUUGACGACUCGCGACCUCUUGAGCCAAUGUCCAGUCAUAGAACCUUCGAGUCUCUUCAUCGCUCAAAACAUUGUACACUUCUCUUAGUUUCAUGAACUUGUCUGAAGCUGUUUUAAGUGGUAAUGAAGUUGUGUCGGGAUGAUACUCUUUUGAUAAUCUUCGGUACGCAGAUUUUAUCUCUUCUAGAUCAGCAUCCGUUGAAACACCUAAGAAUCUGAAAAUUAUUACAGUUACAAAUUAUGAAAAAGAAAAAAAAAAAGAUAUGUAAUAAGAAAAUCUUUGUUUUUGCUAACUGGUAAUGAGAAUCAAAAGAGUCUUUGAUUAGUUCUGCAAAUUUUUCAUCACUAAGGAGAUUGGUUUUGUCCUCAUCAACGGAUUUGGUCGGGUCGGAUCUUCCUCCGAUCCAGCCUUCGUCCGGGCU
RNAcentral lists this long non-coding RNA (557 nucleotides) under Arabidopsis lyrata. RNAcentral describes it as "long non-coding RNA (ALYR_LNC001411)". The record is from RNAcentral. Lineage: Eukaryota; Viridiplantae; Streptophyta; Magnoliopsida; Brassicales; Brassicaceae.